GCGUCCGUAGCUCAGUUCGGAUAGAGCAUUACUUUCCGAAAGUAAAGGUUUCAGGUUCAAAUCCUGUCGGGCGCA
RNAcentral lists this transfer RNA (75 nucleotides) under Buchnera aphidicola (Cinara curvipes). RNAcentral describes it as "transfer RNA Arginine". It matches the Rfam family "tRNA". From Rfam's summary of the family: Transfer RNA (tRNA) molecules are approximately 80 nucleotides in length. Their secondary structure includes four short double-helical elements and three loops (D, anti-codon, and T loops). Lineage: Bacteria; Pseudomonadati; Pseudomonadota; Gammaproteobacteria; Enterobacterales; Erwiniaceae. The record is from RNAcentral.